UCCGAAAUAGCUCAGUUGGUAGUAGCGCAUGACUGUUAAUCAUGAUGUCGUAGGUUCGAGUCCUACUUUCGGAG
Molecule: transfer RNA, 74 nt
Filed under: Isobaculum melis
Lineage: Bacteria; Bacillati; Bacillota; Bacilli; Lactobacillales; Carnobacteriaceae
Rfam family: tRNA
About the family: Transfer RNA (tRNA) molecules are approximately 80 nucleotides in length. Their secondary structure includes four short double-helical elements and three loops (D, anti-codon, and T loops). Further hydrogen bonds mediate the characteristic L-shaped molecular structure. tRNAs have two regions of fundamental functional importance: the anti-codon, which is responsible for specific mRNA codon recognition, and the 3' end, to which the tRNAs corresponding amino acid is attached (by aminoacyl-tRNA synthetases). tRNAs cope with the degeneracy of the genetic code in two manners: having more than one tRNA (with a specific anti-codon) for a particular amino acid; and 'wobble' base-pairing, i.e. permitting non-standard base-pairing at the 3rd anti-codon position.
Source: Rfam by way of RNAcentral